UGUCCAGUAUAGAACCUGAGUAGGACCUGCUUAGAUAUCUGGGGUGCUACCACGGGGGGGACCCCAUUGAGUAAGAUGGAAUGUGCGAGAACAUAUGUCUCAAUUGCAUUUAGGCAGGCUGACUGAAUUUCCUACAGCUUCGUGAGCUACAGACCCGAAGCCCCAAAUCAGGUCUCUCUCCUGGCACCCAGGCACCUUUUCCUGUCUGACCAUACUUGGAUCUGGUGGCUUUCAGCCCCUCACCUCUCCCUUACUUGGCCUGGAUCCUGUUUGGAGUCUUGUUUUCCAGUCGAAACCGAACUCUUGCACCUGUCCAGGAGUGUCAGCACUGUCUACAGAUCUCGUACAAGUACGGGGCCUGGCCAGGAGAGGUGGCUGUGGACAAGGAGGUCUUUUCACUCAGACUUAUCCUUGCAGUCCUCAGGGUACUUCAAAUAAUUUCCCUCUUGUUUUAUUUAUUUUGGUGACAGAUAAAAUCUUAUUGCAACCCA
This is a non-coding RNA of Cricetulus griseus (Chinese hamster), 491 nucleotides long. Lineage: Eukaryota; Metazoa; Chordata; Mammalia; Rodentia; Cricetidae. The record is from RefSeq and is a predicted model, not a curated record.